CCCAGGCUAGGGGUCCAGUCGGAGCUACAGCUGCUGGCCUAUGCCACAGCCACAGCAACAUCAGAUCCAAGCUGCAUCUGCAACCUAUACCACAGCUCACAGAAAUGCCAGAUCCUUAACCCACUGAGCGAGGCCAGGGAUCCAAACCACAACCUCAUGGUUCCUAGUUAGAUUCAUUUCUGUUGCACCAUGACGGGAACUCCUCUACCUCAUCUUCUUAAUCCAUUCAUCUGUCGAUGGACAUUUAGGUUGUUUCCACGUCUUGGCUAUUGUGCUGCAAUGAACAUGAGUGCAUACAUUUUAGACAAACAUCAUGGUAACCACAAAACAUAAAUCUAAAGACAAGAUACAAGACAUAAAAAAGAAACUGGGAAAAGCGUCAUAGAAAAUCACCAAAGUAAAAUGGCAGAGAGAAACGCACUAACGAAGACACAAAAAAGAUACAAAGCAAUCAGAAUAUAGAAGAUACAAUAGCAACCCUCAUUUAUCAAUAAUCACCCUAAAAACAAGUAGAUUGAAUUCACCAAUCAAAAGAUACAGAGUUGUUGGAUUAAAAAAUAAGACACAGAUAUAUGCUUCUUCCAGAAGACAACUUCAGCUAUAAAGACAAAUCUAGACUCAAAGUAAAGGAAUAGAAGAUAAUACUCCAAGCAAAUGGCAGCCAAAAGAAAGCAAGUACAGCCAUAUUCAUAUUAGGCAAAAUACACUUCAAGACAAAAAAGUUUUAAAAACUAAGAGCCAGUGUAUAAAAAUAAUAUAUGGACUUCCUGUUGUGGCUCAGUGGAAACGAAUCUGACUAGUAUCCAUGAGGACACAGGUUUGACCCCUGGCCUUGCUCAGUGAGUUAAGGUUCUGUCAUUGCCAUGAGCUGUGGUGUAGGUCACAGACACCACUCAGAUCUGGCAUUGCUGUGGCUGUGGCAUAGGCCAGUAGCUACAGCUCUGAUUCAACUCCUAGCCUGAGAACCUCCAUAUGCCACAGGUGCGGCCCUAAAAAAGACAAAAAAUAAUAAUAAUAAAUGAAGUUGACAAUUCUUUAGCUAGACUAAAAAAGAAAAGAGAGAAGACUCAAAUAAAAUCAGAAAUUAAAGAGGAGACACUACAACUAAUUCCAGGAGUUCCCAUCGUGGCUCAGUGGUAAUGAACCUGACUAGUAUCCAUGAGGAUGCGGGUUCAAUCCCUGGCCUUGCUCAGUGGGUUAAGGAUCUGGCAUUGCCAUGAGCUGUGGUGUAGAUAUUAGACAUGGCUUGGAUCCUGUGUUGCUGUGGCUGUAGUGUAGGCCAGCAGCUACAGCUCUGAUUUGACCCCUAGCCCAGGAAUUUCCAUAUGCCACAGGUGCAGCCCUAAAAAGGAAAAAAAAAUGAUUCCAAAGAAAUACAUAGGAACACGAGACUAACUACCAUGAUGAAUUAUAUGUAAACAAAUCAGACAACCUAGAAGAAAUGAGUAGAUUCCUAUAAACAUAAAACUUACCAAGGAAAAAGAUAAAGAUAUCAUAUGGUAUUUGUCUUUCUCUUUCUGACUUACUUCACUUAGUAUGAGAAUCUCUAGUUCCAUCCAUGUUACUGCAAAUGGCAUUAUUUUGUUCUUUUUAUGGCUGAGAAGUAUUCCAUUGUGUGUAUAUACCACAUCUGUCUUAAUCCAUUCAUCUAUCAAUGGACAUUUAGGUUGUUUCCAUGUCUUAGCUAUUGUGAAUAGUGCUUCAGUAAACAUAGGAGUGCAUAUAUCUUUCAGUCUAAAAUAUAACACAGAUGAACCUAUCUACCAAACAGAAAGAGACUCAUGGUCAUAGAGAACAGACUUGCAGUUGCCAAGUGAGAGGGAGAAAGAAGUGGGGUGGAUGGGGAAUUUGGGGUUGGUAGAUGCAAACUAUUACAUUUAGGUUGGAUAAGCAAUAGGUCCUACUGUAUAGCAUGGGGAACUAUAUCCAGUCUCUUGGGAUAGACAAUAAUAGAAGAUAUUACGUAUGUAAAUGUCAAAUAGCUAUAUAGUACACCUGAUGCUAACAUAAUAUUGUACAGCAACUGUAUUUCAAUUUAAACUUGGAGGACAAGAAUAUCAUUUUUUAAAUGUGUAAAGGGAAAAAAAACCACCAUCAUUAUGUCACCUUAAAACUCCAAACAUCAUAAAUAUAUCCUUCAAAAAUGAAGAUAAAUAAAGAUAUAUUUGGCCAAACAGGUGAAAGAACUCAUCCUUUCCAGAGCUGCAUUACUAAAUUCUGAAAGAUGUUCUAAAUGCUGAAGAAAAAUAUCACCUAGAAAUCCAGUUCUAUAAGAAGAAAUGGAAAUGCCAAUAGAUCAAUAAAUUAAAACAACCUUUAAAAAAUAGACAGCUUAAUUUUCUGUGUCGAUAUACAUUAUGUAUAAUUCUUUAUUCUCCAAAGCAUAGUCAGCAUCCUUUUAGAAAUAGUUGGAAAAGAUCCAUAGAGCUUUAAUACUACUAUUUUUCUGAUCCAUGUAUUAACCCACCUUGUAAGUAGAUGCACUCAGAAACUAAACCUACACAGGUAUAUUUCAGAAUAGUUUCAUAAGAAUUUCCAUUCUACUAUAAAUUAUCUUUUAGAGAGGGAUAUUUCGUCAACUUUGAGAAUCAGCAGAAUUUUUUUUUUUUACGUCAUUGGCACAAAUGCAAAGACAAGAUUGCAGAAACAUGUUCAGAUUUAUAGCAUUCAUAGUCUAAAAAGUAUUUGGUGUUUCACAAGAUAUGAGAAUUAGUACUUCUUCUCUAUUUGUCUUUAAAUACUUAUAUUUACUUACAUUAAGAUGUGAAUAAUAAUUCUUUUUUUUUUUUUCUUUUUAGGGCCACACCUGCGACAUAUGGAAGUUCCCAGGCUUGAGGUCAAAUUGGAGCUGCAGCUGCAGGCCUACACCACAGCCACAGCAAUGCUGGACCCAAGCUGCAUCUGCAACCUUUGCCAUCACUUGCCAGAUCCUCAACACACUGAGCAACGGCAGGGAUCAAACCCACAUACUUAUGGAGAUGUUGGGUUCUUAACCCGCUGAGCCACAGUGGAAACUCCUGAAUAAUAAUUCAUUUUGCAGCACAACCACUUGCUUUUUAACAUGAUUACAUUCAGAAUUAAGAAAUGAAAUUUCACAAGAUAGUUCAAAUAUUGACUUCUUUAAAAUCUGAAGAAGCUUUUUCUUGAAAGAAAUGUAACAGAGGCAGCAUACUAUAGAACUGGAAUGAUAGAAUAAUGAUCAUGUAAUGCUGUAAGAAAUCAAAAAAUAAACAUGAAUGAAACUAAACAAACAAGUAUAUAUUGUGACAACAAUGAGAGUUAAGUGAUUUAUGGAAAUUAUGAGCACAUGUUUUCAUAAAAAUAUUUUUAUUUACUUAGCAAACACAUACACCAGUCGUACACAAAAAGCAAUUUUGAGUAAUUUCUAAUAUUAGUUAAUAUUUAUAAAAGUCCUGAGCAUUUGUUACAGUUAUUAUAACCACUAAAAGCAAAUGGAGGGAUAGAGAGCUACAUAAAAGAAUAGUUUAACAUGGCUAUAAAGUAACCUCUGGAGCAUGUCAGACAUAUUGCUUUUAAACUCUACAUUAGGCUACCUCAUACUGGAGAAUUUGCCUUCACUGUAUUGAAAUAUUUAUCUUAGAAUAUAUUGAGAUAUUGUUGUUUUAGUUUCAUCAAGAUAUUGACAUAUAAUACAUGUAAAUUUAAGAUGUACAUGAUGCAAUACACAUACACAUUGUGAAGUAAUUACCACAAUAAUAUUGGUUAACACUUUCAGCCUUUCAUGUAUUUCCCAUUUAUUUUUUUAGAUAAAACUUUUAAGAUUCAUUCUCUAAACUUUCAAGUAUGUAAUACAUUAUCGUUAAUUAUAGCCAUCACACUGUACGUUAGAUCUUCAAAAGUUACAUGUUGUAAACUUUGAGAAUCAUAACCCAUUUCUCCCACACCACAUCCCCUGGCAAUCACCAUUCUACUCUAUAUUUCUUUGAAUUUGGCUGUUUUAUCUUCCAUAUGUAAUCAAGAACAUGUAGUAUUUGUCUUUCCCUUUCUGAAUCAUUUCAUCCAGAAUAAUGCCCGUAAGGUACGUUCAUGUUGUCACAAAUGUCAGGAUUUCCUUUUUUUAUGGUCGAUAAUACACACACACACACACACACACACACACACACACAUAUAUACUAUAUAUGCAUAUAUACACACAUAUACACACACACAUAUAUAUACGCACACACACAUCUUCUUUAUCCAUUCAUCUGUUGAUGGACACCUAGGUUGAUUCUAUAUCAUGGCAAUUAUGAAUAAUGCUACAGUAAACACAAGAGUGCAGAUAUUUCUUUGAGAGUGACUGCAAUUCUUUUGAAUAUAUACACAGAAGUGGGAUUCCUGGAUCAUAACAUAGUUAUAGUUUUAAUUUUUAAGGAAUCUUCGUACUGUUUUCUAUAAUUGGCUAUACCAAUUUACAUUUCCAUCAAGAGUGAACAAGUUUUCCCUUUUCUCCACAGCCCCACCAAAGCUAGUUAUUGGCUAUCUUUUUGAUGGUAGUCAUUCUGACACAUGUGUGGUAUUAGCUCCUUGUGGUUUUGAUAUGUGUUUUCUUAAUGGUUAGUGAUGCUAAGAAAUUUUUGUGGUACCUGUUGGCCAUCUAUAUGUCUUCUUUGGAAAAAAUGUCUUUUUACAUCCACUCCCCAUUUUUAAUAAGAUUAUUUACGGGUUUUGUUUUUUGUUUUUGUUUUUGGGUUUUUUUUUUUUUUUGCUGUUGAGUUGUAUGAUUUCCUUAUAUAUUUUAGAUAUUAAGGCCUUAUCAGACAAAUGGUUUGAAAAUUUCCUCCCAUUCAAUGGGCUGCCUUUUUAUUUUCUUGGUAGUUACCUUCACUAUGCAAAAGAUUUUUAGUUUGAAGUAGUCCCAUUGCAUAUAUUUUGCUUUUGUUUCCCUGGCUUGGGGAGGUUGAUUUGAAAAAAUAUCACUAACCAAUGUUAAAGAUCGUAUGGCCCAUGUUAUCUUCUAUGAGCUUUAUGGUUUUAGGUCUUCUGUUUAAGUCUUUAAUCCAUUUUGAGUUUAUUUUUGUAUAUGGUGUGAGUAAAUCAUCCAGUUUUAUUCUUUUACAUGUAACUGUCCAAUUUUCUCCACACCACUUGCUGAAGAGACUGUCUUCCCCAUUGUAUAUUAUUGCCACUUUGUCAUAUAUUAAUUGACCAGAUAAUGUAGGUUUAUUUCCAGACUCUAUGUUUCCUUCCAUUGAUCUAUGAGUCUGUUUUUCUGCCAGUACCAUGAAUUUUUUAUUACUAUAGCUUUAUAAUAUGGUUUGAAAGCAGGAAAUGUGAUACUUCCUGCUUUAUUCUUAUUUCCCAGGAUUGCUUUGACUAUUCAGGGUCUUUUGUGUUUCCAUACAAGUUUUAGAACUAUUUGUUCCAGUUCUGUGAAAAAUCAUCUGUGUUUUGAUAAGGAUUGAAUUGAAUCUGUAGCUUGCCCGAAUAGUAUGGUCACUUUAACAAUAUCAAUUCUUGCAAUUCCUGAGCAUGGUAUAGCUUUCCAUCUGAUUAUAUCAUCUUCAAUUGCUUUCAUUAAUACACUAUAGAUUUUCAAAUACAAGUCUUUUACCUCCUUGGUUAGAUUCGUUCCUAGGCAUUUCACUCCUUUUAAUGCAAUUGUAAAUGGGAAUGUUUUCUUAAUUUCCUUUUCUGAUAGUUCAUCAUUAGAGUAUAAAAACAUAACAAAUUUCUGUAUAUUAAUUUUGUAUUGUGAAAAAUUACUGAAUCAGGAGUUCCCACUGUGGCUCAGUGAUUAACGAAUCCAACUAGGGACCAUGAGGUUGCAGGUUUGAUCCCUGGCCUCACUCAGUGGGUUAAGGAUCCAGUGUUUGCCUUGAGCUGUGGUAUAGGUCACAUAUGCAGCUUGGAUUCCACAUUGCUGUGGCUCUGACAUAGGCCAGCAGCUACAGAUCCGAUUGGACCCCUAGCCUGGGAACCUCCAUAUGCUGUGGG
RNAcentral lists this long non-coding RNA (5937 nucleotides) under Sus scrofa (pig). RNAcentral's name for it is "lncRNA (ENSSSCG00045012120.1)". The record is from RNAcentral. Lineage: Eukaryota; Metazoa; Chordata; Mammalia; Artiodactyla; Suidae.